AAUUAUACUAUUUUGAAAUUCAACCCCUAAACCUUAAAACUCAACUCUAAACCCUAAACCAUCAAUCUUAAACCCUAUUUUUUUUUAAAUACGAAUCCUAAACCCUGAAACAUCAACUCUAAUCCCUAAACCCCAAAACAUCAGCUCUAAACCCUAAACCCUAAACCUUCAAUCCUAAACCCUAUUUUUUUUUUUAAAUAAGAACCCAAAACCCUGAAACAUCAACUCUAAACCCUAAACCCCAAAACAUCAACUCUAAACCCUAAACCCUAAACCUUCAACUCUAAGCCCUAAAACAUUAACCCUAAACCCUAAACCCUAAACUUCAACACUAAACCCUAAACUAUCAACACUAAACCCUAAACCCUAAAAAGUAAACUCUAAACCCUAAACCCUAAAAAAUUAACCCUAAACCCUAAAACAUCAACUCUAAACCCUAAACCCUAAACUUUCAACUCUAAAUCCUAAACCU
RNAcentral lists this long non-coding RNA (472 nucleotides) under Brassica napus (rape). RNAcentral describes it as "long non-coding RNA (BNAP_LNC012604)". Lineage: Eukaryota; Viridiplantae; Streptophyta; Magnoliopsida; Brassicales; Brassicaceae. The record is from RNAcentral.